This 72-nucleotide transfer RNA is filed under the name Marmota monax (woodchuck). RNAcentral describes it as "tRNA.Ala". Lineage: Eukaryota; Metazoa; Chordata; Mammalia; Rodentia; Sciuridae. The record is from RNAcentral.
GGGGAUGUGGCUCAAGCAGUAGAGCGCUCGCCUGGCAUGCGCGGGGCGCUGGGUUCAAUCCUCAGCACCACG